Molecule: ribosomal RNA, 254 nt
Filed under: uncultured bacterium
Lineage: Bacteria
Description: partial 16S ribosomal RNA
Rfam family: Bacterial small subunit ribosomal RNA
Source: RNAcentral
UACGGAGGGUGCAAGCGUUAUCCGGAAUCACUGGGUUUAAAGGGUGCGUAGGCGGUCUAAUAAGUCAGUCGUGAAAUCGCUGGGCUUAACCCAUGCAAUUGCGAUUGAUACUGUUAGACUUGAAUGGGGUUGAGGCUGGCGGAAUGCGACAUGUAGCGGUGAAAUGCUUAGAUAUGUCGCAGAACACCGAUUGCGAAGGCAGCCAGCUGGGCCUUUAUUGACGCUGAGGCACGAAAGCGUGGGGAGCAAACAGG